This 372-nucleotide ribosomal RNA is filed under the name uncultured organism. RNAcentral describes it as "bacterial SSU rRNA". It matches the Rfam family "Bacterial small subunit ribosomal RNA", at positions 526 to 896 of the family's 1533-position model. The record is from RNAcentral.
CGGAGGGGGCGAGCGUUAUUCGGAAUUAUUGGGCGUAAAGGGCGCGUAGGCGGCUAGACAAGUCAAAGGUGAAAUCCCUCGGCUCAACUGAGGAACUGCCUUUGAAACUGUCUGGCUUGAGUCCGGGAGGGGGUAGCGGAAUUCCCAGUGUAGCGGUGAAAUGCGUAGAUAUUGGGAGGAACACCAGUGGCGAAGGCGGCUACCUGGACCGGAACUGACGCUGAUGCGCGAAAGCGUGGGUAGCAAACAGGAUUAGAUACCCUGGUAGUCCACGCUGUAAACGAUGGGUGCUCGGUGUCGCGGGUAUCGACCCCUGCGGUGCCUUAGCCAACGCGUUAAGCACCCCGCCUGGGGAGUACGGUCGCAAGGCUG